RNAcentral lists this ribosomal RNA (657 nucleotides) under uncultured Alphaproteobacteria bacterium. RNAcentral describes it as "bacterial SSU rRNA". It matches the Rfam family "Bacterial small subunit ribosomal RNA", at positions 84 to 776 of the family's 1533-position model. The record is from RNAcentral. Lineage: Bacteria; Pseudomonadati; Pseudomonadota; Alphaproteobacteria.
CUUCGGAUCUAGUGGCGCACGGGUGCGUAACGCGUGGGAAUCUGCCCUUGGGUUCGGAAUAACGUCGGGAAACUGACGCUAAUACCGGAUGAUGACGAAAGUCCAAAGAUUUAUCGCCCAGGGAUGAGCCCGCGUAGGAUUAGCUAGUUGGUGGGGUAAAGGCUCACCAAGGCUACGAUCCUUAGCUGGUCUGAGAGGAUGAUCAGCCACACUGGGACUGAGACACGGCCCAGACUCCUACGGGAGGCAGCAGUAGGGAAUAUUGGACAAUGGGGGCAACCCUGAUCCAGCAAUGCCGCGUGAGUGAUGAAGGCCUUAGGGUUGUAAAGCUCUUUUACCCGAGAUGAUAAUGACAGUAUCGGGAGAAUAAGCUCCGGCUAACUCCGUGCCAGCAGCCGCGGUAAUACGGAGGGAGCUAGCGUUGUUCGGAAUUACUGGGCGUAAAGCGCACGUAGGCGGCGAUUUAAGUCAGAGGUGAAAGCCCGGGGCUCAACCCCGGAACUGCCUUUGAGACUGGAUUGCUAGAAUCUUGGAGAGGCGGGUGGAAUUCCGAGUGUAGAGGUGAAAUUCGUAGAUAUUCGGAAGAACACCAGUGGCGAAGGCGGCCCGCUGGACAAGUAUUGACGCUGAGGUGCGAAAGCGUGGGGAGCAAACAGG